Molecule: ribosomal RNA, 253 nt
Filed under: uncultured bacterium
Lineage: Bacteria
Description: partial 16S ribosomal RNA
Rfam family: Bacterial small subunit ribosomal RNA
Source: RNAcentral
CACGUAGGGCGCAAGCGUUGUCCGGAAUUAUUGGGCGUAAAGAGCUCGUAGGCGGUUUGUCACGUCGGAUGUGAAACCCUGAGGCUCAACCUCAGGCCUGCAUUCGAUACGGGCAGACUAGAAUUCGGCAGGGGAGACUGGAAUUCCUGGUGUAGCGGUGAAAUGCGCAGAUAUCAGGAGGAACACCGGUGGCGAAGGCGGGUCUCUGGGCCGAUAUUGACGCUGAGGAGCGAAAGCGUGGGGAGCAAACAGG